UACAUUCCUCACACAUUACAGACUGAACUAUGACUGGUAUGUAGUACUGUCUCUACUUGUUCUCUGGACUGGAGUUCACACAUUCUCACAAAUAACAGACUGAACUAUGACAGGUAGGUAGUACUGUCUCCACCUGUUCUCUGUACUGGAGUUCACACAUUCUCACAAAUAACAGACUCAACUAUGACAGGUAGGUAGUACUGUCUCCACCUGUUCUCUGGACUGGAGUUCACACUUACAUUCCUCACCCAUAACAGACUUAACUAUGACAGGUAGGUAGUACUGUCUCUACCUGUUCUCUGGACUAGAGUUCACACUUACAUUCCUCACACAUAACAGACUGAACUAUGACAGGUAGGUAGUACUGUCUCCACCUGUUCUCUGGACUGGAGUUCACACUUACAUUCUCACUAAUAACAGACUGAACUAUGAC
Long non-coding RNA from Dreissena polymorpha, 433 nucleotides. RefSeq lists it as uncharacterized. The transcript has 3 exons. The record is from RefSeq and is a predicted model, not a curated record. Lineage: Eukaryota; Metazoa; Mollusca; Bivalvia; Myida; Dreissenidae.